CGGGGUGUGGCGCAGCUUGGUUUAGCGCACCUGCUUUGGGAGCAGGGGGUCGGAGGUUCAAAUCCUCUCACCCCGACCA
This 79-nucleotide transfer RNA is filed under the name Actinomycetota bacterium. Its description in RNAcentral is "Actinobacteria bacterium tRNA-Pro". It matches the Rfam family "tRNA". From Rfam's summary of the family: Transfer RNA (tRNA) molecules are approximately 80 nucleotides in length. Their secondary structure includes four short double-helical elements and three loops (D, anti-codon, and T loops). The record is from RNAcentral. Lineage: Bacteria; Bacillati; Actinomycetota.